AAGAAUCGAGAAAUUGAGGAGAAAGGUUGAAGAAGGAACAACAAGGAAGGAGGAGGAGGAAGAGGAAGGAGCUCAGCGGCGUCAAGGGUAUAUACGUCAUUAUGUACCUUCAUGUCUAAUUUGUUUUUUUUUUUUUAAUGACGACAUUUCACCAGCACUCACCGAUGAUCUAAAUGGUUUAAUCUCAGCCGUUAGAUCUGCUUACCAAGUCGCCUGAUUCUUCAGACUUUUUGUUUUUUUUUGGUAUCUGAUUAUUUAUUUAUAAAAAUUGCA
Molecule: long non-coding RNA, 273 nt
Filed under: Capsella rubella
Lineage: Eukaryota; Viridiplantae; Streptophyta; Magnoliopsida; Brassicales; Brassicaceae
Description: long non-coding RNA (CRUB_LNC003940)
Source: RNAcentral